RNAcentral lists this ribosomal RNA (432 nucleotides) under uncultured bacterium. Its description in RNAcentral is "partial 16S ribosomal RNA". It matches the Rfam family "Bacterial small subunit ribosomal RNA", at positions 29 to 505 of the family's 1533-position model. The record is from RNAcentral.
AGCGAACGCUGGCGGCAGGCCUAACACAUGCAAGUCGAACGAACCUUUCGGGGUUAGUGGCGGACGGGUGAGUAACACGUGGGAACGUGCCUUUAGGUUCGGAAUAACACUGGGAAACUUGUGCUAAUACCGGAUGAGCCCUUCGGGGGAAAGAUUCAUCGCCUUUAGAGCGGCCCGCGUUUGAUUAGCUGUUUGGUUGAGGUAAUGGCUCACUAAGACGACGAACAGUAGCUGGUCUGAGAGGAGGAUCAGCCACAUUGGGACUGAGACACGGCCCAAACUCCUACGAGAGGCAGCAGUGGGGAAUCUUGCGCCAUGGGCGAAAGCCUGACGCAGCCAUGCCGCGUGAAUGAUGAAGGUCUUAGGAUUGUAAAAUUCUUUCACCGGGGACGAUAAUGACGGUACCCGGAGAAGAAGCCCCGGCUAACUGCG